RNAcentral lists this ribosomal RNA (430 nucleotides) under uncultured bacterium. RNAcentral's name for it is "bacterial SSU rRNA". It matches the Rfam family "Bacterial small subunit ribosomal RNA", at positions 355 to 776 of the family's 1533-position model. The record is from RNAcentral. RNAcentral also lists the same sequence under 1 other name.
UGGGGAAUUUUUCGCAAUGGGCGCAAGCCUGACGAAGCAACGCCGCGUGGGGGAUGAAGGCCUUCGGGUCGUAAACCCCUGUCGACCGGGACGAAAGCAGUCCGACCCAAUACGUCGGGCUGUUGACUGUACCGGUGGAGGAAGCCACGGCUAACUCUGUGCCAGCAGCCGCGGUAAUACAGAGGUGGCAAGCGUUGUUCGGAAUUACUGGGCGUAAAGGGCGCGUAGGCGGUUCGUUAAGUCCCGCGUGAAAUCCCCCGGCUCAACCGGGGAAUGGCGUGGGAAACUGGCGGGCUUGAGUUCGGGAGAGGGAAGCGGAAUUCCGGGUGUAGCGGUGAAAUGCGUAGAUAUCCGGAGGAACACCGGUGGCGAAGGCGGCUUCCUGGACCGACACUGACGCUGAGGCGCGAAAGCUAGGGGAGCAAACGGG